RNAcentral lists this ribosomal RNA (253 nucleotides) under uncultured bacterium. Its description in RNAcentral is "partial 16S ribosomal RNA". It matches the Rfam family "Bacterial small subunit ribosomal RNA", at positions 524 to 776 of the family's 1533-position model. The record is from RNAcentral.
UACGUAGGGGGCAAGCGUUAUCCGGAUUCACUGGGUGUAAAGGGAGCGCAGGCGGUACGGCGAGUCUGAUGUGAAAACCCGGGGCCCAACCCCGGGACCGCACCGGAUACCGCCGGACUCGAGUGCCGGAGGGGCAGGCGGAAUUCCUGGUGUAGUGGUGAAAUGCGCAGAUAUCAGGAGGAACACCGGUGGCGAAGGCGGCCUGCUGGACGGUAACUGACGCUGAGGCUCGAAAGCGUGGGGAGCGAACAGG